RNAcentral lists this ribosomal RNA (433 nucleotides) under uncultured bacterium. RNAcentral describes it as "partial 16S ribosomal RNA". It matches the Rfam family "Bacterial small subunit ribosomal RNA", at positions 29 to 507 of the family's 1533-position model. The record is from RNAcentral.
AACGAACGCUGGCGGCAUGCCUAACACAUGCAAGUCGAACGAGACCUUCGGGUCUAGUGGCGCACGGGUGCGUAACGCGUGGGAACCUGCCCUUAGGUUCGGAAUAACUCCCCGAAAGGGGUGCUAAUACCGGAUAAUCUCUUCGGACCAAAGAUUUAUCGCCUUUGGAUGGGCCCGCGUUGGAUUAGCUAGUUGGUAGGGUAAAAGCCUACCAAGGCGACGAUCCAUAGCUGGUCUGAGAGGAUGAUCAGCCACACUGGGACUGAGACACGGCCCAGACUCCUACGGGAGGCAGCAGUGGGGAAUAUUGGACAAUGGGCGAAAGCCUGAUCCAGCAAUGCCGCGUGAGUGAUGAAGGCCUUAGGGUUGUAAAGCUCUUUUACCCGGGAUGAUAAUGACAGUACCGGGAGAAUAAGCGCCGGCUAACUCCGUG